GAUGAACGCUAGCUACAGGCUUAACACAUGCAAGUCGAGGGGAAACGACAUCGAAAGCUUGCUUUUGAUGGGCGUCGACCGGCGCACGGGUGAGUAACGCGUAUCCAACCUGCCCAUCACUUGGGAAUAACCUUGCGAAAGUAAGACUAAUACCCAAUGACAUCCCACGAAGACAUCUGAAUGGGAUUAAAGAUUUAUCGGUGAUGGAUGGGGAUGCGUCUGAUUAGCUUGUUGGCGGGGUAACGGCCCACCAAGGCAACGAUCAGUAGGGGUUCUGAGAGGAAGGUCCCCCAAAUUGGAACUGAGACACGGUCCAAACUCCUACGGGAGGCAGCAGUGAGGAAUAUUGGUCAAUGGGCGAGAGCCUGAACCAGCCAAGUAGCGUGCAGGAUGACGGCCCUAUGGGUUGUAAACUGCUUUUAUAAGGGAAUAAAGUGGGUCUCGUGAGACUUUUUGCAUGUACCUUAUGAAUAAGGACCGGCUAAUUCCGUG
Molecule: ribosomal RNA, 492 nt
Filed under: uncultured bacterium
Lineage: Bacteria
Description: partial 16S ribosomal RNA
Rfam family: Bacterial small subunit ribosomal RNA
Source: RNAcentral